AGCCUAUUAGCUCAAAUGGUAGAGCAAUGUGCCACACGCAUAUAUGUAGGUUCGAGUCCUACAUAGGCUG
Molecule: non-coding RNA, 70 nt
Organism: Spinacia oleracea (spinach)
Lineage: Eukaryota; Viridiplantae; Streptophyta; Magnoliopsida; Caryophyllales; Amaranthaceae
Source: Rfam